CACGUAGUUAGCCGGGGCUUCUUAGUCAGGUACCGUCAUUUCUUUCUUCCCUGCUGAUAGAGCUUUACAUACCGAAAUACUUCUUCACUCACGCGGCGUCGCUGGAUCAGGGGUUCCCCCCAUUGUCCAAUAUUCCCCACUGCUGCCUCCCGUAGGAGUUUGGGCCGUGUCUCAGUCCCAAUGUGGCCGUUCACCCUCUCAGGCCGGCUACUGAUCGUUGCCUUGGUGGGCCGUUACCCCGCCAACAAGCUAAUCAGACGCGGGUCCAUCUUACACCACCGGAGUUUUCAAGUAAAAGACAUGCGUCUCCUACUGUUAUGCGGUAUUAGCACCUAUUUCUAAGUGUUAUCCCCCAGUGCAAGGCAGGUUACCCACGCGUUACUCACCCGUCCGCCACUAAGAUAGCAACAUCUCCGCUCUUAGUAAACUAAUCGCUUCGAAAAUGAUAUCUCCGUUCGACUUGCAUGUGUUAAGCACGCCGCCAGCGUUCAUCCUGAGCCAGGAUCAAACUCU
This 513-nucleotide ribosomal RNA is filed under the name uncultured Lachnospiraceae bacterium. Its description in RNAcentral is "partial 16S ribosomal RNA". The record is from RNAcentral. Lineage: Bacteria; Bacillati; Bacillota; Clostridia; Lachnospirales; Lachnospiraceae.